Molecule: long non-coding RNA, 371 nt
Organism: Saccostrea cuccullata (small rock oyster)
Lineage: Eukaryota; Metazoa; Mollusca; Bivalvia; Ostreida; Ostreidae
Exons: 3
Source: RefSeq, a predicted model, not a curated record
UGAGAACAUACAACAGAAGGUCGUGACCCUGCUGAGUGACCCGGACAACAGAAGGUCGUGACCCUGCUGAGUGACCCAGACAACAGAAGGUCGUGACCCUGCUGAGUGACCCGGACAACAGAAGGUCGUGACCCUGCUGAGUGACCCGGACAACAGAAGGUCGUGACCCUGCUGAGUGACCUGGACAACAGUGUUAAACGGACCCUACUGGAGAAAGGAAUCACAAAGCUGUGUGUCUUCUUUGGCAGGCAGAAAGCCAAUGAUGUGUCAUUGAUUACUUCCUCAAUGACAAGACUGACUGGCAUCUCCGUGGCUCCUUCUUUGACAACAUUGUGGGUGUGGCCGCCUAUAUCGGUAGCAGAGCUGCUCUA